RNAcentral lists this microRNA (21 nucleotides) under Picea abies (Norway spruce). Its description in RNAcentral is "pab-miR11554". Lineage: Eukaryota; Viridiplantae; Streptophyta; Pinopsida; Pinales; Pinaceae. The record is from miRBase by way of RNAcentral.
UUAAAGAUUCUGCAGCAAACU